This 247-nucleotide small RNA is filed under the name Marmota monax (woodchuck). RNAcentral describes it as "7SK RNA". It matches the Rfam family "7SK RNA", at positions 77 to 331 of the family's 331-position model. Rfam says of the family: 7SK was discovered as an abundant small nuclear RNA in the mid-70s but a possible function has only recently been suggested. Two independent studies have found that 7SK RNA binds the CDK9/cyclin T complex (known as elongation factor P-TEFb). Lineage: Eukaryota; Metazoa; Chordata; Mammalia; Rodentia; Sciuridae. The record is from Rfam by way of RNAcentral.
AGGCGGGUGUCCCCUUCCUCCCUCACCGCUCCAUGUGCGUCCCUCCCGAAGCUGCGCGCUCGGUAGAAGAGGACGACCUUCCCCUAUAGAGGAGGACCGUUCUUCGGUCAAGGGUAUACGAGUAGCUGUGCUCCCCUGCUAGAACCUCCAAACAAGCUCCUUUUCUUUUUUAAAUUCAAUUUUAUUUUUAGACAAGGGCUCACACUAAGUUGCCCAGGUUGACCUCAAAAUUGUGAGCCUUCUGUCU